GGAAAGCUUUCGCGGUAUGGGAUGGGGUCGCGUCCUAUCAGCUCGACGGCGGGGUAACGGCCCACCGUGGCUUCGACGGGUAGCCGGCCUGAGAGGGCGACCGGCCACAUUGGGACUGAGAUACGGCCCAGACUCCUACGGGAGGCAGCAGUGGGGAAUAUUGCACAAUGGGCGCAAGCCUGAUGCAGCGACGCCGCGUGAGGGAUGGAGGCCUUCGGGUUGUAAACCUCUUUUAUCGGGGAGCAAGCGAGAGUGAGUUUACCCGUUGAAUAAGCACCGGCUAACUACGUGCCAGCAGCCGCGGUAAUACGUAGGGUGCAAGCGUUAUCCGGAAUUAUUGGGCGUAAAGGGCUCGUAGGCGGUUCGUCGCGUCCGGUGUGAAAGUCCAUCGCUUAACGGUGGAUCCGCGCCGGGUACGGGCGGG
Molecule: ribosomal RNA, 424 nt
Filed under: uncultured Bifidobacterium sp.
Lineage: Bacteria; Bacillati; Actinomycetota; Actinomycetes; Bifidobacteriales; Bifidobacteriaceae
Description: bacterial SSU rRNA
Rfam family: Bacterial small subunit ribosomal RNA
Source: RNAcentral